RNAcentral lists this ribosomal RNA (494 nucleotides) under uncultured bacterium. Its description in RNAcentral is "partial 16S ribosomal RNA". It matches the Rfam family "Bacterial small subunit ribosomal RNA", at positions 28 to 507 of the family's 1533-position model. The record is from RNAcentral.
GACGAACGCUGGCGGCGUGCUUAACACAUGCAGGUCGAACGGAAAGGCCUGCUUUCCCUUGUGGAUUGCGGGUACUCGAGUGGCGAACGGGUGAGUAACACGUGAGUGGUCUGCCCCCAACUUGGGUAUAAGCCUGGGAAACUGGGUCUAAUUCCCGAUAGGACUGCAGGGUGGUGCCUGUGGUGGAAAACGAUUUUCUAGUGGUUGGGGAUGAGCUCGCGGCCUAUCAGCUUGUUGGUGGGGUAAUGGCCUACCAAGGCGGCGACGGGUAGCCGGCCUGGGAGGGUGGACGGCCACAUUGGGACUGAGAUACGGCCCAGACUCCUACGGGAGGCAGCAGUGGGGAAUAUUGCACAAUGGGCGGAAGCCUGAUGCAGCGACGCCGCGUGGGGGAUGACGGCCUUCGGGUUGUAAACUCCUUUCGACCGCGAGGAAGCCACCUGGUUGGAAGGGUGGUGACGGUAGUGGUAGAAGAAGCACCGGCUAACUACGUG